Molecule: RNA transcript, 4712 nt
Organism: Labrus mixtus (cuckoo wrasse)
Lineage: Eukaryota; Metazoa; Chordata; Actinopteri; Labriformes; Labridae
Gene name: 1-phosphatidylinositol 4,5-bisphosphate phosphodiesterase gamma-2-like
Exons: 33
Source: RefSeq, a predicted model, not a curated record
AGAUACCGUCCCUUUGCUUCCGGACUUUUAUAAGUUGUAGACUAUGCAUAUAAUGCAAGUUAACUUUUACUUCCUUGUACACACAGAAAGAGGAACUGACCGUUUUGCGGCUGGCCCUUUUGUCAACACUUUACAUCCUCUCCAGCUUCCAACUAUCAAAUCAUGAGCAGAUAGAAAAACUAGUUUGCAGAGCCGAAAAGAACCGUUCUUCACUUGUAAGCUGCAGAGAUGGCUAGUUGGGGGCAGCAGGGUGAGAUGACAGAGUACAAGAAGAUUCUGAUCAAACGGGACCUGGAGAUGGGCAUGGUCAUGACGGUGUUUCGGCAGAAGGCGGAGCGACUCACUGUGCAGGUCAUCAUGGAGACCCGGCAGGUGGCAUGGACACGCACUGCAGACAAGACUGAUGGUGUCUUGGACCUGUUUGAGAUCAGAGAGGUUCGUCCAGGGAGGAACUCAAAGGAUUUCGAGCGCUUUAAAGAUGGAAAGGACAAACAUGAAGAAAAAACCUGCUUCACAAUCUUUUAUGGCUCACAGUUUGUCCUGAACACGCUCAGUCUGGGAGCGGAUUCUGUGGAAGAGGCAGAAAAAUGGCUGAUAGGACUAGAACUCCUGAGGCAAGAGACACUGGAAGCUCCAACUCCAGUUCUUAUAGAGAGUUGGCUGAGGAAGCAGAUGUAUUCUGUCAAUCAGACAAAAACAAACAGUAUCUCCAUGAAGGAGCUGAAGGCUCUGCUUCCUUUGCUUAACUACAAGGUCCCCAGCUCUCGAGUCCUCAAAGACAAAUUCCAGGAAAUUGGAGCGAAAAAAGACAAGCUGGACUUUGAGCAGUUUCAUAAAUUAUACAACCAUAUCAUGUUUGAACAGAACGAGAUCCUCGAUGAGUUCAAAAAGGAAUCCUGUGCUUUCAUUCUUGGUAACACAGAUAAACCCGACGCUUCAGCAGUGCUGCUUCACGACUUCCAAAGAUUCCUCAUCUACGAGCAGAAGGAGCAAUGGGCCAGUGAUCUGAACCAGGUCAGAGAAGUGAUGACCACCUUCAUCGACGACACCAUGAGAAAAACCAAUGAUCCAGAAUUCACUGUCAGCGAGUUUCUCAGCUUCCUGUUUUCCAAGGAGAACUCUGUGUGGGACGAGAAGUUCUCAGAGAUCAGCAACCUUGACAUGAACAAUCCUCUGUCCCAUUACUGGAUCAACUCCUCACACAACACCUACCUGACAGGUGAUCAGCUUCGUAGUGAGUCAUCCACAGAGGCUUAUGUUCGCUGUCUGCGUCUGGGAUGUCGCUGUGUCGAACUGGACUGCUGGGAGGGGCCUGGGGAACCGAUCAUCUACCACGGCUGGACCAGGACCACAAAGAUCAAGUUUGAGGACGUGGUCAAAGCCAUAAACAAUCACGCUUUUGUCACCUCAGAGUUUCCGUUGAUCCUGUCCAUUGAGGAGCAUUGUCCCUUAGAGCAGCAGCGUCAGAUGGCUCGUAUCUUCAGAGAUGUGUUUGGAGACAAACUGCUGACUGAACCUGUGGAGCAGAUGGCAGAGCAGCUGCCUUCACCUACACAGCUGAAGGGAAAGAUCAUACUCAAGCACAAGAAGCUUAGUGUGGAGGGAGGAGGUGUCAGUCGAGACUUCAGGAAGGGGCAGAAACAGGGAGACCUGGAGAUCUGGGACCCUGUUGAUCAGCGGUGGAACAAGCACUACUGCGUGAUCUCUGAUGACAAGCUGUACUACGCAGAGGAGUACGAGGAGGAAGAAGAGGAUCCCAAGAAGUACCAGGACCUGCACACUUCAGAGCCAUGGUUCCAUGGUGGCAUGAAGGAAGGCAGGCAGAUGGGCGAGCAACUGAUCAGUGAUUUCUGUGCAGAGACCGGGGGAAGAGACGGGACCUUCUUGGUCCGAGAAAGUUACACUGCUGUCACAGGCUACACCCUCUCUUUCUGGCGCAAUGGGAGGGUGCAACACUGCCGUAUUCGCUCAGGUCAAGAGGGGGGUUACACCUACUACUUCCUGACUUCAAACCUGAACUUUCCCAGCGUGUACUCCCUGAUCCAGCACUACAGAGACAACCCUCUUCGCAGCCAAGACUUUGAACUGCGCCUCACUGAUGCUGUGCCACAGCCCAACCCACAUCUACAUGAAGGGUGGUUCUACAGUAACCUGAGCAGAGGUCAGGCAGAGGAUUACCUGCUUAGGAUUCCCAGAGAUGGAGCAUUCCUCAUCCGAACCAGAGAGGGCGAGCCAGACUCCUAUGCCAUCACAUUCAGAGGUGAUGGUAAAGUAAAACACUGCCGCAUCAAGAAGGAGGGAAGCAUGUACCUGCUGGGCACCACUACAGAGUUUGUGAGCCUGGUAGAGCUGGUCAACUACUUCAAGAAGAAACCGCUGUAUCGGAAGAUCAAGCUACGUUACCCAGUCACCCUUGAGCUGGUGGACCGCUUCAGCACAGAGAAAGACUGUGCCUCUCUGUACGAGGUGAAGACAUACGUGGAACCAAACGAGAUUGAACCAGCACUGCCUGUAAGUACAGUUAAGGCUGUAUAUAGCUAUCAUGCUGAGAGGCCGGAUGAACUGAGCUUCACUAAAGGAGCACUGAUCCACAAUGUAGCAAAAGAUAAUGAUGGAUGGUGGAAAGGGGACCAUGGUGGAAAGUUGCAGCUGUUCUUCCCUUCUAACUAUGUGGAGGAGUUGUUCGACAACACCAGGAGGGAGAGCAAGGACCAGGACAUGGAAGACAACCCACUAGGUGAACUAUGUAAGGGUGUUGUGGACAUCUCGAAGUGCAACAUUCAGAACUUGAAGAAUGGUAAAAAUGGGAAGUCCCAUGUGUUGACACUGCAGAAUACCGAUCAGGACAAUCUGCAGUUUGACUUGGCAGCAUGCUCUCUGGAGGAGUUGUUUGAAUGGUACCAGGUGGCCUGGGACAUCACUCAGAGUGCCAUGAGUAUGCAGUACAACAGGGAGCAAGAGAUCAGACAGCAGGAGGAAGUGGAGAAGAAGGCAGAGGUUGCCAUGGAGAUGUCGGACCUGGUGGUCUACUGUCAACCACGCAGCAAAGAGAAGGACCGCUUUGACAGUUACAACUACAAAGAGAUCCGGUCCUUUGUUGAGAACAAGAUCCCUGGAAAGAGCCGAACCAAGGACUUCUUGCAGUACAACCGCAAGGCUCUGAGUCGAAUUUACCCAAAAGGCCAGCGUGUGGAGUCCUCCAACUAUGAUCCUUAUCCACUGUGGGCUCUUGGCUGUCACAUGGUGGCUCUUAACUUCCAGACUGCAGAUAAAUACACCCAGCUGAACAGCGCCCUCUUCAGCCUGAAUGGAGGGACUGGUUAUGUGCUGCAGCCGGAGCUCAUGCGCUAUGACAGCUAUGACCCCCAGCAGGAGAAGAAGACGGUCAAGUACAACAUUGUGGUUAGGGUGAUUGCUGCCAGACACCUUCCCAAACCUGGCCGCAGCAUCGCCAGUCCAUUCGUGGAGAUCGAGCUGUGUGGACACACAGAAGAGAAGUUCAAGACCGUUGUCUAUCGUGAUAACGGUCUAAAUCCCGUGUGGAAAGCUCCAGCACAGCCGAUCGUCUUCUCCGUGUACGAGCCUGAACUAACCUUCCUGCGCUUUGUGGUGAACGAGGAGGACAUGUUCUCAGACCCUAAUUUCCUGGCCCAUACCACACUUCCUGUAAAAGGCCUCCGCUCAGGUUACCGCUCUGUACCUUUAAAAAAUGGCUACAAUGAAAACUUAGAGUUAGCCUCUCUGCUGGUCUACAUCAAUGUACAGCAAGCAGGGGGGGGUUUCUUGUCUUUCAGAAAGCAGAGGAGGAGUUGUACUCGUCCUCCAGCCAGCUGAAGAAAAAGCAGGCCACGCAAAGCAGUGAACCUUUCAUGUAUGAUACACACAGCAACAUUCAGCGCGCCGCCGUCCCCCGUCAAAACCUCAGCAGAGAGUUCAGCACUAGCGAGAGACAAAGGACAAAAGAGAAGAAGAUAAACAACAGUAAGUUCUACUCGUGAGCACGCGGGAAAAUCUCACCUGUCUGCCACGCUUCCUGUUUGAGCAAAGGAGAAAUGUGGACCUCAGAUCUAAUGUCAGCACAGCGCAACGUAUUUAUUCAAGGUUUUUGAUGUGAAGGUAAAUCAAGGAACUUUGGUGCCCAAUCUUAAUUUUGUCUGUGAGACUGUAAUGGUGAUAUCAUCAUUUUUGGGAAUUGUGGGACUGCCUUUAAUAAUGCCAGGUGAGGCAGAUGAAUUGUUUUUCUUCUUUAUAGGAUGUGAGAUAGUAAAAUUUCUAUUAAGAUGUCCCUAAUAACACCCCCCCCCCAUUGAGUCUGUGGUCAUGUUAGAGGUGGGCUACACUGAUGACAGAACACCGUAGAUAUUUAUUUUGAAUGAAUGAGGCAUGUUUACUGACCAAAAGAAUAGUUUCACUUCUGUAAAGUAGAACAGUUUUAUGGGCCACAAAGCUUGUGAAGAAUUCAACUGCAUGGUGUCUUAUCUUUAUGACUUUUGAGUGUAAUAAUUAGUCCAAUGUUUGCUGUGUGUUUGUAUCAGUGUCCUCUGUUCUGUAACUCCGACAGUAACGUCAGAUUGAUAACAGGUGGCUUAAUCCCACAAAAAUGAAAAGUUUCAUACAUUUUCUCUGAAGCUCAGUCACAUUUGUAACUUUUCUAUUUUUCCUCUGUGACCUUCUAUUAAAUAAAUUCAUUAAAGUAUGCUCGUUGAACUAUA